Microplitis demolitor is the source of this 1633-nucleotide long non-coding RNA. RefSeq lists it as uncharacterized. The record is from RefSeq and is a predicted model, not a curated record. NCBI's taxonomy places the organism in Eukaryota, Metazoa, Arthropoda, Insecta, Hymenoptera, Braconidae. The transcript has 3 exons.
GUGUAGUCAUCGUAGUCGGUGUGUCCAACUAUUUGAAAAAAUACUGUUGAUUUUUUUUUUUUUCUUAAAGUCAUUACUAGUAGUUUUAAAAUUAAAUUUUUUUUUUUUCAACUGGCGUUUUCGCAAGUUGAAAUCAUAUUUUUUUUUUUAUAAUUUUUUCGUCUAAAUAAUAAAAUACAAAAAUCAACAGUAUUUUUUUUUAAUUAAAAAGUGAUAUUUUUUAAAUAGAUUUCCAAUGGAUUUCAACGAUGAAAAAUUCUUUCUGACGCCUUGACUGGAAGGAAGGACGAGACUGAAGAACACUGACCUACCUCAAGGAGCUGCUAGUUGUCAACCUACCAGUUGAUCAUCUGGCAUCGUUCGGCAGGGAAAUAAAGUUAUUUCCCUGUUGAGGUUUAGGUAUAUGAUUUGGAUGAUUUUUUUCCUAUAUCUUUGAUGACGUGUCUAAUCUAGAGUCCAAUGGAAUCUAAUGACAUGACUGGCCUAUAAGGACCAGAAUAAUUUUUUGGACAGUGAUGUUGCUAAACAUUGAGGACAAGGUGUUGCCGAGCCAAGGACACACCGCUGCUUUAAUUUUUUUUUCUGUUUCAGAUCCAGUCAACGAGAAUGAGGAUAUCCACGGGUGCCAAGGAAUACCGAGACCAGGAGAAGGAGGACCAGGACCAAGAAGAAGACCAAUUAUUUAUUUAAUUAAUUUAAUUAUUUAUUUUUAUUAUUUAUUAUUAAUUUGUAUUUUUUAUAUUUAUUUAGUUAAGUUUAGUGUAAUUGUAAAUAGUUUUAAAUAAUUAUUUUGUUCAGGUAUGAGUGCGAUGGAUGCUAUAAAAGUGAUUUAUAAUUUAAGAAUUUAAUUUAUAUUUUUAUUUUAUAAGAAUGAGUAUGAGUGGCAUGUUUUUAUUGCUUAGCAUGUGCUUGCUUGUUUUAUUUUAUUUUAUUCGGGUCUGAUCGCAUGGUUUGGUUUAUUUAUAUUUAAUUUAAUUUUAUCCUUUUUUCCCACCUCCCUUUAAUUUUAAGUGUGUUUUUUCGUAUUUGGGUUUGACUGCAUGGUUUGAUUUGCUUUUAUUUAAUUUAAUUUUACCUCUUUUUAUUCCCAUUCCCUUUUACUUUUAAGUCUGUAUGAAUAUAAUUUACUAUAAAUUUAAGUGUAUGAUGAAUGAAUGUGAUUUUAUUUAUUGAGAUAUCCGUGCCCGGAUAUUAUUAUUAUUAUUAUUUUUAUUAUUAUUAAGUCUUAAUUUUAAGAAAUUUUAUUUAUAAAAUUUUAUUCUGUAUGUUUUUUUAUAUAUUUAUUUUGUUAAUUAUGUAAUGUAUAAUAUUUUGUAUUUCUAUUUUUUGUUUAUGUAUUUACUUUGUCAAUUAUGUAAUGUAUAUUAUUUUGUAUUUGUAUUUUUUAUUUAGCUUUUUUUUGGUCACCAAUCGAGUGAUCACUGUGUUGGUCGGGUUUUUUCACUGGUAAAAACCUCCGAUUUAAACCGAUAGAUUCCGGGUCUAUCGGAUUUUUAUCGGAGUAUUUUAUCGGUGUCGAGGUUUCCCAAACGGGCUAUUUUCUUUCUACCAAAAGAAAAUAGCUUAGACCAGUACAAUUGUAUUUCUAAACAAAUACAAUUGUAGGUGAAUGCGCACAGUAUAGGAAGUCGGU